GAUGAACGCUGGCGGCGUGCCUAAUACAUGCAAGUCGAGCGAACAGACGAGGAGCUUGCUCCUCUGACGUUAGCGGCGGACGGGUGAGUAACACGUGGAUAACCUACCUAUAAGACUGGGAUAACUUCGGGAAACCGGAGCUAAUACCGGAUAAUAUAUUGAACCGCAUGGUUCAAUAGUGAAAGACGGUUUUGCUGUCACUUAUAGAUGGAUCCGCGCCGCAUUAGCUAGUUGGUAAGGUAACGGCUUACCAAGGCAACGAUGCGUAGCCGACCUGAGAGGGUGAUCGGCGACACUGGAACUGAGACACGGUCAAGACACCUACGGGAGGCAGCAGAAGGGAAUCUACCGCAAUGGGCGAAAGCCUGACGGAGCAACGCCGCGUGAGUGAUGAAGGUCUUCGGAUCGUAAAACUCUGUUAGUAGGGAAGAACAAAUGUGUAAGUAACUAUGCACGUCUGGACGGUACCUAAUCAGAAAGCCACGGCUAACUACGUG
Molecule: ribosomal RNA, 497 nt
Filed under: uncultured bacterium
Lineage: Bacteria
Description: partial 16S ribosomal RNA
Rfam family: Bacterial small subunit ribosomal RNA
Source: RNAcentral